This 408-nucleotide ribosomal RNA is filed under the name uncultured bacterium. Its description in RNAcentral is "partial 16S ribosomal RNA". It matches the Rfam family "Bacterial small subunit ribosomal RNA", at positions 28 to 526 of the family's 1533-position model. The record is from RNAcentral.
GACGAACGCUGGCGGCGUGCUUAACACAUGCAAGUCGAACGAAGUGGCGAACGGGUGAGUAACGCGUAAUCAACCUGCCCUUCAGAGGGGGACAACAGUUGGCAACGACUGCUAAUACCGCAUACUGAAGGAGGGGAUUGCGUCUGAUUAGCUAGUUGGAGGGGUAACGGCCCACCAAGGCGAUGAUCAGUAGGCGGUCUGAGAGGAUGAACAGCCACAUUGGGAAUGAUACACGGCCCAGACUCCUACGGGGGGCAGCAGUGGGGAAUCUUCCGCAAUGGACGAAAGUCUGACUGAGCAACGCCGCGGGAGUGAGGACGGCCGUCUGGUUGUAAAGCUCUGUUAAUCGGGACGCGGUACCGGAAUAGAAAGCCACGGCUAACUACGUGCCAGCAGCCGCGGUAAUAC